RNAcentral lists this long non-coding RNA (255 nucleotides) under Elaeis guineensis (African oil palm). Its description in RNAcentral is "long non-coding RNA (EGUI_LNC068381)". Lineage: Eukaryota; Viridiplantae; Streptophyta; Magnoliopsida; Arecales; Arecaceae. The record is from RNAcentral.
UACCACAGUGACAUGUAAGCAACUCACUAUAUUUUGGUACCGGACUAUCUGAAUUUUUAAUUUAGUGAUAGAAGAUUUUUGGGUGUAAUCAAGUACUUAUCAAAUUGGUGCGUGAGUCAAGAUGGGAUUGACCCCUUCGAAUAACUAGGAGUUAAUGCAUCAAUAUAUUUUAAUUUAGUAAAAUUUUGAUCAUGAUAAUUCAUGUGAUAGAUUUAAAAGAUUGAAAUAUAAUAUGGUUGACUAUUCCAGAAUUGA